This is a small nucleolar RNA of Seriola dumerili (greater amberjack), 218 nucleotides long. NCBI's taxonomy places the organism in Eukaryota, Metazoa, Chordata, Actinopteri, Carangiformes, Carangidae. The record is from Ensembl.
AAGACUAUACUUUCAGGGAUCAUUUCUAUAGUUUCUGACUCGAGAAAUGUGUUUCUAAAGUGUUUGGUCUCGCUAACCACGAUGAAGAGUUGGUGAUACUCCUUUCUGAGCGCGAAGCGGGCGAAGAGACUUGAUUAACUUCACAUGCUCUUCGCUUUUGAUGACCGUUCACUGUCUCCUCUGGGGACAAUGAGGGAAGGAGUAUGAUCAGAGUGGUA